GCCGAAAUAGCUCAUUUGGGAGAGCGUUAGACUGAAGAUCUGAAGGUCCCUGGUUCGAUCCUGGGUUUCGGCA
RNAcentral lists this transfer RNA (73 nucleotides) under Perca flavescens (yellow perch). It matches the Rfam family "tRNA". From Rfam's summary of the family: Transfer RNA (tRNA) molecules are approximately 80 nucleotides in length. Their secondary structure includes four short double-helical elements and three loops (D, anti-codon, and T loops). Further hydrogen bonds mediate the characteristic L-shaped molecular structure. tRNAs have two regions of fundamental functional importance: the anti-codon, which is responsible for specific mRNA codon recognition, and the 3' end, to which the tRNAs corresponding amino acid is attached (by aminoacyl-tRNA synthetases). tRNAs cope with the degeneracy of the genetic code in two manners: having more than one tRNA (with a specific anti-codon) for a particular amino acid; and 'wobble' base-pairing, i.e. permitting non-standard base-pairing at the 3rd anti-codon position. The record is from Rfam by way of RNAcentral. Lineage: Eukaryota; Metazoa; Chordata; Actinopteri; Perciformes; Percidae.